GUGCUUGCUUUGGUAGUGCAUAUAUUAAAAUUGGACUGACACAGAGAAGAUUAGCAUGGCCUCUGUGCAAGGAUGAUACACAAAUUUGUGAAGCAUUCUACAUUUUU
Molecule: small nuclear RNA, 107 nt
Organism: Loxodonta africana (African savanna elephant)
Lineage: Eukaryota; Metazoa; Chordata; Mammalia; Proboscidea; Elephantidae
Source: Ensembl